Molecule: non-coding RNA, 74 nt
Organism: Bradyrhizobium erythrophlei
Lineage: Bacteria; Pseudomonadati; Pseudomonadota; Alphaproteobacteria; Hyphomicrobiales; Nitrobacteraceae
Source: Rfam
GGGAGCCGUGUGCGGGAAUUCUGCACGCACGGAUCUGGGCGGGGGGCGGUCAGCAAUGACCGUCCCUACCGCAC